GAACAAUUAACGUCACACUGACCUAGAAAUGAUUAAGUUGGGAAGAGAAAUGAUCACCAAGGGCUGGAGAUCUUCAACCUCGACCACUUACCUACCCCCGAAUGAACACUUACCGUGGAUAAAUCGUUUUUCAGGAAGGGAUUAAGUAUUGGAAUAAACAAUGGAACAAGCAGGUAAAAUUGGUCAAUGAUUUUUCAUCAUUUGGUGAUUGGUUGAGAAGAUUACACGACGAAAUUUUACGACAAAAGAUUAUUAAUCAAACAUAUCACACGACAAAAUAUUAUUAAGAGAAAUAUCACAGAUGGAAAAAAAAUAUUGAUUUUAAAAUCAUACUGUACGUUCUUUCCUAGUUUCCUCCAUUGAAUCUUCGGAAAUUCAUUGAAUAAUAAAAUAUAGUCAACAAAAAAUUAAAACACGUAAUAUUAUGACGAAUAAUAAUUUUUCAAAUAAAAUUUUCGACUUACAAUAUUUUCCAGUCAUAUUUUGUCAGAUAAUAUUACGUCUCUGUAAUGAUUUGUCGUGCUACCGAUUGAGAAGCUGCAGAGGUACACAGAGAUAAUCGCAUGGAAUACCUAGAGAAAUUCUCCCAGCCUCUAAUCAAAGACGAAACUGUCAUCGCUUUCACCUCUGGAGAUGCACCAGACAUUUUCACCCAGAGACUAGUUGUUUAAUCUCCCGUCAAGUCAUUAAUCAUAACUUGUUAUCAGUCGGAGUAUUUAAACACUAUUUUCCUCACUUAAAAAUAAAACAGCAAUUAUUUUUGACCUCUUUAUUUACUGCCAUGGAGAGCACAAAAAAUCUACACGUAGCUCACUGACACCUCAUCAUCACUCCCAUAAAAAAACAAAUCAAACUUUUACAAAAUAUCGACAUGACACAAUUUAAAAAAUCUCAGAGCUCCUCACGAUCUGCCUUCCACAAAUUACAUUUAAAACACAAUCAAUAAGACACCCAAAAUCAAUAAAAUACACCUAAGCCCAAGCCCAGGAUGGCGUCACGGGUUUAAAAUUGAACUUCUCAGGCUGUCCGACGUGCGUAACCCCCGGGAAGUCCCUCUUCCACUCGAAAGCCUCCCCGAAUCGUCCGGGAAAUGGACCGGAAGUGGCUUCGAAAGUGUCAAUCCCCUCAGAUCCAAUGAGUAUCAAUUUUGUAUCAAUAUUUCCAAACGGAACUGCCACCUUCUCAAGGUCACCCCUAUAACCCAUCACCCAUUCUGCUCCAGGUGUUUCUUCGAUUAGUUUCGAAUUCAGAGUGGAAUUUAUUUUGUCAGAGAUUGAGCCAUUUUGUUUAAUUUUUCCAAUUUCAUUGCUUUCAACCGAAUUUUUCUCUUUUUUGUCAGUCCCAUCGCUAUUUUCGAGAUGUUUAGACACUUCUGGGGGUGUGGAAUGCUCUGGAGGACUUGGAGUGAUGGCAGAAGAAACCGGAAUGGACUGUUUAUGUUCAAAAACGGAUUUUCCGUUGCAAAACAAUGACUUGG
Long non-coding RNA from Diachasmimorpha longicaudata, 1477 nucleotides. RefSeq lists it as uncharacterized. NCBI's taxonomy places the organism in Eukaryota, Metazoa, Arthropoda, Insecta, Hymenoptera, Braconidae. The record is from RefSeq and is a predicted model, not a curated record. The transcript is spliced from 2 exons.